UUGUAACAGCCCGGAAAUCCGGACCGCUACCGGCGCUAGGAUUCAGAUCGGCGUAAGGCCGCCGGAAUCCGUAGCAAGCCUAACAUAUAACCUGUAACCCUGUGCAAUCCCAUACAUGAUCCGACAUAUCAUAAACCUGUAACAUUUCCACAUAUCAACCAAGCAUAACAUGUACAUAUACAUAAUCAUAAACAUGAACCUCCACUGGAGCCCUCAUCAAAUGCUCCAAUGGGGUAACUCAUCAUACAUAAACUUGGUUAAAACUGAACAUCAUAUCUCAUAACAUAAGGAUCAUGUGUACACAAGUGGGAUUAACAACAUAUAAUGGUCAAGCACAACUCUAUCCUCAAUAUUCAAUUACAUGACAUAACUUACAAUACUAUUACAUUACAACAUUUUAUCAUGUCCACUCUAUCUAUUACAAGGCAAACAUAACUUCUACUCCUGUUGACUUCCUGGUCUACCUUGUACCUGCACAUCUGGGGUUAGGGGAGAGGGGUGAGCUAUAAAGCCCAGUGAGCAGAAUAGGGAAAACAUUAUAUUUUAUAAGUUUCAUGCUUUCAUGAAAUGCAACACAACACAAACAUAUCACGUAAGGAUGGACUUGUCACCAACAACCCUCUACAUAAUCCAAUAAUGCCAGGGGCGUAGUGCAGGCCACACCUGGACUUUCUCUUACAUAAACAUAACAUAACAUAGUCCAAUAGUGCUGGGGGCGUAG
RNAcentral lists this long non-coding RNA (721 nucleotides) under Manihot esculenta (cassava). Its description in RNAcentral is "long non-coding RNA (MESC_LNC010013)". Lineage: Eukaryota; Viridiplantae; Streptophyta; Magnoliopsida; Malpighiales; Euphorbiaceae. The record is from RNAcentral.